Molecule: ribosomal RNA, 665 nt
Filed under: Bacillus tequilensis
Lineage: Bacteria; Bacillati; Bacillota; Bacilli; Caryophanales; Bacillaceae
Description: bacterial SSU rRNA
Rfam family: Bacterial small subunit ribosomal RNA
Source: RNAcentral
AGCACGCCGCGUGAGUGAUGAAGGUUUUCGGAUCGUAAAGCUCUGUUGUUAGGGAAGAACAAGUACCGUUCGAAUAGGGCGGUACCUUGACGGUACCUAACCAGAAAGCCACGGCUAACUACGUGCCAGCAGCCGCGGUAAUACGUAGGUGGCAAGCGUUGUCCGGAAUUAUUGGGCGUAAAGGGCUCGCAGGCGGUUUCUUAAGUCUGAUGUGAAAGCCCCCGGCUCAACCGGGGAGGGUCAUUGGAAACUGGGGAACUUGAGUGCAGAAGAGGAGAGUGGAAUUCCACGUGUAGCGGUGAAAUGCGUAGAGAUGUGGAGGAACACCAGUGGCGAAGGCGACUCUCUGGUCUGUAACUGACGCUGAGGAGCGAAAGCGUGGGGAGCGAACAGGAUUAGAUACCCUGGUAGUCCACGCCGUAACGAUGAGUGCUAAGUGUUAGGGGGUUUCCGCCCCUUAGUGCUGCAGCUAACGCAUUAAGCACUCCGCCUGGGGAGUACGGUCGCAAGACUGAAACUCAAGGAAUUGACGGGGGCCCGCACAAGCGGUGGAGCAUGUGGUUUAAUUCGAAGCAACGCGAAGAACCUUACCAGGUCUUGACAUCCUCUGACAAUCCUAGAGAUAGGACGUCCCCUUCGGGGGCAGAGUGACAGGUGCUGCAUGC